This 497-nucleotide ribosomal RNA is filed under the name uncultured bacterium. Its description in RNAcentral is "partial 16S ribosomal RNA". It matches the Rfam family "Bacterial small subunit ribosomal RNA", at positions 28 to 507 of the family's 1533-position model. The record is from RNAcentral.
GAUGAACGCUGGCGGCGUGCCUAAUACAUGCAAGUCGAGCGAACAGACGAGGAGCUUGCUCCUCUGACGUUAGCGGCGGACGGGUGAGUAACACGUGGAUAACCUACCUAUAAGACUGGGAUAACUUCGGGAAACCGGAGCUAAUACCGGAUAAUAUAUUGGACCGCAUGGUUCAAUAGUGAAAGACGGUUUUGCUGUCACUUAUAGAUGGAUCCGCGCCGCAUUAGCUAGUUGGUAAGGUAACGGCUUACCAAGGCAACGAUGCGUAGCCGACCUGGGAGGUGGUUCUGCCACACUAGAAGCGAGAGAAGGGCCAGACUCCCUAGGGAGGCAGCAGUAGGGAAUCUUCCGGAAUGGGCGAAGACCUGACAGAGCAACGCCGCGUGGGAGAUAAAGGUUUUCGGAUCGUAAACCGCUGUUAGUAGGGAAGAACAAAUGUGUAAGUAACUAUGAACGUCUUGACGGUACCUAAUAAGAAAGCCACGGCUAACUACGUA